Molecule: microRNA precursor, 60 nt
Filed under: Zootermopsis nevadensis
Lineage: Eukaryota; Metazoa; Arthropoda; Insecta; Blattodea; Termopsidae
Description: microRNA mir-67
Rfam family: mir-67 microRNA precursor family
Source: RNAcentral
GACUCACUCAACCUGCGUGUGAUGUCCUUCGAGUCCAUCACAACCUCCUUGAGUGAGCGA